GUACUGUGCAAACGUUGUUCGGAAUCACUGGGCUUAAAGGGUACGUAGGCGGCCAGUUAAGUAGGGUGUGAAAUCCCCCGGCUCAACCGGGGAACUGCGCUCUAAACUGACUGGCUUGAGUGAGAUAGGGGUGUGCGGAACUUCCAGUGGAGCGGUGAAAUGUGUUAAUAUUGGAAGGAACGCCGUUAGCGAAAGCGGCACACUGGGUCUCAACUGGCGCUGAGGUACGAAAGCCAGGGUAGCGAACGGGAUUAGAUACCCCGGGUAGUCCUGGCUGUAAACGUUGAGCACUAGUCGGGAGGGGUUUCGGCCCCUUCCGGACGCAGCGAAAGCACUAAGUGCUCCGCCUGGGGAGUAUGGUCGCAAGGCUG
Molecule: ribosomal RNA, 371 nt
Filed under: uncultured organism
Description: partial 16S ribosomal RNA
Rfam family: Bacterial small subunit ribosomal RNA
Source: RNAcentral